RNAcentral lists this ribosomal RNA (973 nucleotides) under Platygramme sp. RivasPlata 2099. Its description in RNAcentral is "eukaryotic LSU rRNA". It matches the Rfam family "Eukaryotic large subunit ribosomal RNA", at positions 143 to 1088 of the family's 3401-position model. Lineage: Eukaryota; Fungi; Ascomycota; Lecanoromycetes; Ostropales; Graphidaceae. The record is from RNAcentral.
UUGUAAUUUGCAGAAGGUGCUUCGGGUGCGACGAUGGUCCAAGUCCCUUGGAACUGGGCGUCAUAGAGGGUGAGAAUCCCGUAUGUCACCAUUUGUCUAUCCCAUGUGAAGCCCUUUCGACGAGUCGAGUUGUUUGGGAAUGCAGCUCUAAAUGGGUGGUAAAUUUCAUCUAAAGCUAAAUACCUGCCAGAGACCGAUAGCGCACAAGUAGAGUGAUCGAAAGAUGAAAAGAACUUUGAAAAGAGAGUUAAACAGUACGUGAAAUUGUUAAAAGGGAAGCGCUUGCAAUCAGACUUGUUUGCAGAAGUUCAGCUAUUCUUCGGGAUGGUGUAUUCUUUUGCAUACAGGCCAGCAUCGGUUUCGGCGGACGGAUAAAGGUCUUGGGAAUGUAGCUCUCCUCGGAGAGUGUUAUAGCCUGAGGCAUAAUGCGUCCUGUCGAGACUGAGGACCGCGCUUUUGCUAGGAUGCUGGCGUAAUGGUUGCCAGCGACCCGUCUUGAAACACGGACCAGUAAGUUCCCAAUAUAUCGUUAUUAUAUUUACAGGCUGACUUUUAUACAGAGGAGUCGACCAAUCGCGCGAGUGUUUGGGCGUAAAACCCAAGCGCGUAGUGAAAGCAAACGUAGGUGGGAGCCUUUGGGCGCACCAUCGACCGAUCUUGAUGUCUUCGGAUGGAUUUGAGUAUGAGCACGAUCGGUCGGACCCGAAAGAUGGUGAACUAUGCGUGAAUAGAAUGAAGCCAGGGGAAACCCUGGUGGAAGUUCGCAGCGGUUCUGACGUGCAAAUCGAUCGUCAAAUUUGCGCAUAGGGGCGAAAGACUAAUCGAACCGUCAGUAGCUGGUUCCUGUCGAAGUUUCCCUCAGGAUAGCAGCAACGAGAAACAGUCUCAUGAGGUAGAGCGAACGAUUAGAGGCCUUGGGGUUGAAACAACCUUAACCUAUUCUCGAACUUCGAAUAUGUGAGAAGUCCUUGUU